UCUCUCUCUCUCUCUCUCUCUCUCUCUCUCUCUCUCUCUCUCUCUCUCUCACACACACACACACACACACACACACACACAGAUACACAUAAAUAAAAACUAAUUUUUAAAAUUCUGUGUCCCUCUCCUCUAAGCGCCUAUCUGUUCAGACAAGAAGGAAAUGUGGCAAUGACUCCCUUAACGACAUCAGCCAACACCAGAUCAUGCGUUCCUUGAUCGCAGCCAGUGAGUGGGAUCCACAGACUCGGCUUCUCAUAGGCUGUGGCACAACAAGGAGAAGAGAUCCUCGCAGUCCCCAGCCCCACACCUCAAGCUCACCUGGGGGAGGAGUGCUAGGUAGCCGCACCAGCCCAACCAGCUCAUCUGCUGUGCUUCCAUGGGAUGAACCAAGCCAGAAGCCAGGGGGUCCAGGAAGCCCAUUAAUGCAGAGGGCAGGUGGAAGAUGUCACUACACACAGAGUGGUUCCUCCCUCCAAGAUGCCAGCCCUGAGCCAGGCCAACCUGCAUGCCGCUACAAAGCAAGUGAAGAAAGGACUGAGGUCAGAGGGAGCCAGUCCUGCUCCCUCCCCUCAGGGCUGGAGUACAAGCUGAGGCAACCUGCUUCUCUGCCAGCCCAGGGAGCAAUGGAGGCUGACAAGGAGGGAAGUGGAAAGGCAGGAUGUUCGCUAUAAUUAUUUUCAUUGAUUUGUCUACUCAGAUCCCAAGUGCUGCGAUGCCGUUGUGACAUUUAAUAAAAAUAAUUCAAGGUAGAGGAUCUCCAGGAUCCAGUCUGACUCAGCAGAGUUCAGGAAGCAGGGAAGGAAACUGAACCGGGAUCCCGGGCCCUCCUAGCUUACUUACUGAGUCCUGAGAGCACCAUCCCAGGCUGUCAGAGGCAGAUGUAAUCAGGGUGACCUCGCCUUUUUCACAGAUUCAUUAAAGUCUGUGUUCUGGGGUAAAUGAUUGCUUUCCCCUGGUCCUGCUGAAGAAAAAAAAAAAUCGAUCACCUCCUUGUAGAUUUAGAAUGGGACAAUUGGCAAUUAGAAAACAUUUCCCCCGGGCAGGCACUGGGGAUGGGGGCUUGAGAUGCUUCCCAAGUGUUCUGUCCGUAGCACAACCUGGCCAGGCCUCCUGGCUUGCAGCAGACUGGAGAAGCCUUGAGUUGGGUCCGGGGACACAGCUGGGGAUCCACCUGUGUCCCAGGGAUUCUAAGUUCCAUCUCAGCUUGCUGUUGGGACCUCCUUGAAGCGUCCAGUCCUCCUCCCCCCCCCCCCCACACACUCAUCCCUGCCUGGUGACUAAUGGAUUUUCCUCUGUACUGCGAGAUUUACUAAACAACUGAACUAGGACGCAUUAAGUCUGUGGGUUUGGAGGUUUGUUUUAGAGCAAUUCUCGCCCGGAGAACUGGCUGCUGAAAUUAAGAUGCAUUCUUCUCAGCAAAUAUUGAUUUCAACUCGAAGCAAAUCCGAGAAGCUGCUUGCUGGAUUUAAGCUCUGGCAGCUGUACUGUGGACCGAAAGAGGGGUCACCAAGGUGCUCCCCACUAGAGAGGCCCAGAAAACAAGGCAAUAGAGAAAACAUAGUCAAAGCAGAGCUAGAAAGUACCAUAAGGCCAACCAAACAGAAACUCAUUUGGAGACUCGCAAGUCUAUUACCAAAUGGGGAGGGUGACCAUUGGCCCAUAUAUUAUGGCCACACCAGGUAUGCAUACUUCUGGUGAGAUGGAAUCCACACAGCUGUAACUUGACUCUUGGGCUUCCCUUCAAGCUGGACCCUGAGGUACCCUCCCUCCCAGAAUCUUAGCUUAACUAACUUUGUCUUCCCUCUGUUUCCUCCAGGGUUUCAAGCCACUAGGACAGCCGCGUGUAUCUUCUCUCCCUCAAAUGUUCCUGCCUUCCUCCCUUUCUCUCCCAAACCCUAUCAGGGACGAGGACCACAGCUUGCACAGUCCCUAAGGUCUACAGUAACAAGAUCUUGGGAACUUGGAAAAUCAAAUUAGUUGGUAGAAGUUCUUGAUCUAAUUCGCCAGCCUUCUAGUUGUAAGAUGUCUGCAAAGCACUUCCUCUCUGGGCCUCCUUUUUAAGAAGCAGAAAAUGGGAUUGGACCAGACAGCCUGGAAGAAUUUUCUCAGGGGGACAUAAGAAGACAUUAGAGAGGACCACAGCAUUCAGCAAGAUCAGGCUGUAGGGGAAAUCUACAAGCCUGAGAAACUAUAGAUUAAAGAAGAUGUAAGAGAUGUGCCAGUUGGCCAGGCUGAAAAGACCAUGUGAUUUCUCAUAGUGACAGGCAAAAAUGAAAAAGGAAAAGUCUAUGAGGCCACCAGGAGUAUUUCAGAAUGGGCUAGUUAUUUGGCAAAACUGAGGAAUUACUGUUCACUUUUUGGUAUACGUAUCAAUCACUACUGCUGCAUUAAAAGCCACCCCAAACUCAAUAGCUUAAAGGAACAAUUGUUUUGUUCUUUCAGGAUUCUGUGAGUCACAUACAUUAAGCAGACAUCAGCUGGGCUGGUUCGUGUCUAUCCUACAUAGUGUGGUAUGAUCUUGCAUAGAUAUAGAGCCUCAACAGUGGUGGCUCUAUUAUGUAAAGUUUUAUGUUUACUAUUUAUUGAUGCGCACGCACGCACACAGACACAGACACACA
Non-coding RNA from Peromyscus maniculatus bairdii (prairie deer mouse), 2618 nucleotides. Lineage: Eukaryota; Metazoa; Chordata; Mammalia; Rodentia; Cricetidae. The record is from RefSeq and is a predicted model, not a curated record.